This 777-nucleotide ribosomal RNA is filed under the name uncultured Neocallimastigales. Its description in RNAcentral is "partial large subunit ribosomal RNA". It matches the Rfam family "Eukaryotic large subunit ribosomal RNA", at positions 23 to 644 of the family's 3401-position model. The record is from RNAcentral. Lineage: Eukaryota; Fungi; Neocallimastigomycota; Neocallimastigomycetes; Neocallimastigales.
AGAGAGAGACAUGCGCGCAUAUCAAUAAGCGGAGGAAAAGAAACUAACAAGGAUUCCCUUAGUAACGGCGAGUGAAGCGGGAAGAGCUCAAAUUUGAAAUCUUCAAGGUUCUACCUUGACGAAUUGUAGUUUAUAGAAGUGUUUUCUGUUAGUGGAGUGGCAAAAGUUCUUUGGAAUAGGACAUCAUAGAGGGUGAGAAUCCCGUAUUUGGUCAUUCCUCCUAGCGUUGUGAUACACUUUCAACGAGUCAGAUUGUUUGGGAAUGCAGUCCAAAAUGGGUGGUAAAUUUCAUCUAAAGCUAAAUAUUGGCGAGAGACCGAUAGCGAACAAGUACCGUGAGGGAAAGAUGAAAGGAACUCUGAAAAGAGAGUUAAACAGUACGUGAAAUUGUCAAAAGGGAAGCGUUUGACACCAGUGUUGUUUUUCCGAAAAUCAAUUACGAAUGUUUUAGUUUUUGAGGAGUUAUGACUUCAUCGGCUUGCUCCUUUCUUUAUGAAACUUUCUUAAUGCACUUUUCGGCUAACAAGUCAACAUCAAUUUCUUUUGUUGUAAAAGGGUAUGAGGAAGGUGGCUUUCUUUUCGGAGAAAGUGUUUAUAGCCUUGUAGCCUCUGCAAUCGGAGAGAUUGAGGUCUGCAGCGUAGAUCCUUCGGGGUUAGAUACAGUUUGUGCUAAGUUAUAGCUUUUCAUAGACAACUUGUUGACUAUGUUUAGUCUUGUAGCUUACUCGCUGAUGCUAUUUUACCUACGCUUAGGAUGUUGAUAGUCACAGCGUGUAC